Molecule: unclassified non-coding RNA, 319 nt
Organism: Ochotona princeps (American pika)
Lineage: Eukaryota; Metazoa; Chordata; Mammalia; Lagomorpha; Ochotonidae
Gene: 7SK
Rfam family: 7SK RNA
About the family: 7SK was discovered as an abundant small nuclear RNA in the mid-70s but a possible function has only recently been suggested.
Source: Ensembl
GGACCCGAGAGCACUCUGGCUGGGACAUCUGUCACCCCACUGAUCGCCAGCGUUGACUCGGCUGAUCUGGCUGGCUAGGAGGGUGUCCCCUUCCUCCCUCACCGCUCCAUGUGCACCCCUCCCGAAGCUGUGCGCUCGGUCGAAGAGGACGACCAUCCCCGCUAGAAGAGCACUUCUUUUCGGUCAAGGGUGUACAAGUAGAUGCGCUCCCCUGCCACAACCUCCAAACAAGCUCUCAAUAACAAAUAUGGGAAGAACAAGGUGGUAGUGAGACUAAACAAGGAAGACUAACUACCUAAAGAGGGGGAAUGCUCGGUUA